Molecule: long non-coding RNA, 628 nt
Filed under: Nicotiana benthamiana
Lineage: Eukaryota; Viridiplantae; Streptophyta; Magnoliopsida; Solanales; Solanaceae
Description: long non-coding RNA (NBEN_LNC010943)
Source: RNAcentral
GAUGCUGAAGGAAAGCUGUGGGUUGGAGAAUCUGGAAACGAGAAUGAUAAGGUACUUUUAAACAGUUUUUUUUUCUUUUUUUUUUUCCGCUUUCACAUGGUGGUACUUUUUUGAUUGGGAGCAAAGACUGAUUUUAGAAUAAUCUGGUUCCUGGGCUUUUAUGUUACAUGCACCUUCUUUUUUUUUCCACUUUCACAUGAUGGUACUUUUUUCAUUGGGAGCAAAGACUGAUUUUAGAAUAAUCUGGUUCCUGGGCUUUUUUGUUACAUGUACCAAAAACCACUUCAACAACAAAGGUAUUGGUCGGAUACUGGAAAAAGACGAAAGUAGCCGUUUUUAUAUAUUUCUAAAAUAAAUCUACUUAUGUCUAUCUGAUUGUUGUCAGCAUGUGGGGUUGUUUAUGGUUUAUCAUGGCAGCUCUGAGAGAAGGUACAGUCUCUUGUUUAAGAUAAUAUCUGACUUUUCUAUACGCCGCAAUAAGGUGAAUGAUUAUGCCUUCCUUUUACAGAAGCACAUAAUUGCAUCUUUAAUUUCAUACGUUAACUGUGCCAUGUAAGACAAGAGGGGUUGCUCUGAUGGUAAGCAACCCCCACUUCCAACCGAGAGGUUCUGAGUUUGAGUCUCCCCA